UUCAGGUCGGAUGAAACCGUGGAAAAUCUGCGUCUCGCGAAGACAAAUAAACGGUGGAUUAUCAUUUUCGUUUAUUGCCAGAGGUUUUUCGGUCGCGUAACUAGUUUCGCGAAAAUUAUCCGUUAUCGUCGCUUUGUCACGAUCAUUACCACCGGCGAGAAUUGCGAUCUCGCCGAAACAGCUACCAGCUGCAAUCUCGGAGCUGUGCUCGACAUUGCACAAUCGCCCGUUAAAUGGAAAAUACCAGCAACCCGUUGCGAGACAGAUUAACAAUGAUAGUUAUUCCAAACAGAUAGGAAAACUGUCGAUGCCAAUACAACCAUAGUGAUGAUUAAAGCAAAUGUGAUUGCAUACGAAGCAAUUAAGUAUUGCUUGUAAUUAUUAGUUCGUCAUUGACUUGUACAGUCUGCUCAAGUUCACAUACUGUUACUACAAAUAGACCAGAGUGUCCGGAUAAGUUACUGCUACGUUUUUAAACAAGUAAUGUAAAAUUAAAUAUUUAUGUCCAGGUGACUGCAUACGAAGCAAUUAAGUAUUGCUCGUAAUUGUUAGUUCGUCAUUGACUUGUACAGUCUGCUCAAGUUCACAUACUGUUACUACAAAUAGACCAGGGUGUCCGGACAAGUAUGAACGGCGGACGAAAUGUUGUUCGCUUCGAUAUCAAACCGUCUCCGAAUUACAUUAAAUCGUGCGCCAAUAAUGGAACCGACUGUCCGAAAUACGAUAUCACGGCAUUAAACGUUUGUGUUUGUUCAACAAUAUCGCACGAUACUCGAAUGUUCAAAUAUUGGAAGGUUUGUCACCGGUGGAAAUAAGUUUUCCUGUUGACAGGUGACUGAUUAGACUCAAGUUCAAGUUUCCACUGGAUAUCCAUCAGUCCAUGUAACAAGUAUCAGUUCAAGUUAUUGAAUUCAAAUGAAAAUAAAUAUCUGACAACUGA
This is a long non-coding RNA of Bombus pyrosoma, 940 nucleotides long. RefSeq lists it as uncharacterized. The record is from RefSeq and is a predicted model, not a curated record. The transcript has 4 exons. Lineage: Eukaryota; Metazoa; Arthropoda; Insecta; Hymenoptera; Apidae.